RNAcentral lists this ribosomal RNA (268 nucleotides) under uncultured bacterium. RNAcentral describes it as "partial 16S ribosomal RNA". It matches the Rfam family "Bacterial small subunit ribosomal RNA", at positions 92 to 354 of the family's 1533-position model. The record is from RNAcentral.
CGACCGGCGCACGGGUGAGUAACACGUAUGCAACCUGGCCGUCACAGGUGGAUAACCGGAAGAAAUUCCGACUAAUACAGCAUAACACUCCUGAGGGGACCAUCCCUUGGGAGUCAAAGGAGGCAACUCCGGUGACGGAUGGGCAUGCGGCGCAUUAGGUAGUUGGUAGGGUAACGGCCUACCAAGCCGACGAUGCGUAGGGGUUCUGAGAGGAAGGUCCCCCACAUUGGAACUGAGACACGGUCCAAACUCCUACGGAAGGCAGCAG